Pseudopipra pipra is the source of this 1034-nucleotide long non-coding RNA. RefSeq lists it as uncharacterized. The transcript is spliced from 2 exons. The record is from RefSeq and is a predicted model, not a curated record. NCBI's taxonomy places the organism in Eukaryota, Metazoa, Chordata, Aves, Passeriformes, Pipridae.
UUGGGGGUGCCGCUCCCCGGGCCUGGCACUCUGGCAGCACCGGUGGGCCCAAACCGUGGCAUCACUGGGGUCUCCCUGGGGGUUCUGAUGCUCCAGAUCCACCUGGAAGGGUGGAAAGGUGGGGCCACUGCGCCCCUUACCCUCACCCUCUGAACCACCAGGCCAGCUCAUCCAAAUGUGCGAAGAGCCAUUUCAAGCUGCUUCUCCGCUCCCCUGACCUCCACUCCCUUCCCACCCACUCAGCUCCGAGCUGGGGGAAGGCAGGAGAGUGUCCUGCACGGGCACCACUGCCUGCACCCCCACAGCGACCCUGGGGAGGUGGGGGUGCAGGCCCCAGGGCCCGUGGCAAUGGCAGCAGUCGAGGGACCAGCACUGAUUUAUAGCACUGUUCCCAUGCCAGGAGCUGGGCCCCUUGGCCAGGCCUGGAGUGACGUGGCCGUGGGGAGGCUGCAAAGCUCCGUCAUGAAGCCAUUUAGCAACAGGCCGUGAUCGAACGGCCCUGAUGGAAGGCACAGAGGGGAGGGGAGGGGAGGGGGCUGCAGUCACCCGAGGGCCACCCUGCAUUGACCAUGAAGGCAGACACAGCAGUGGCAGCAGCUCGGGUGAGGACGGCCAGAAAUCUGUGCAGCUGAGGAGCCACAUGCCCAGCACAGGGUUGGAACCCUGCUCAGAUCCUGGCACCCAGGGGCUGCUCCUGCCCUGCCCCACGGUGUGGCUGCCUCCCCCCACUGCUGCUGCUGCUGCAUUGCCCCAUCACCCACCCCAUUCCUUCCCCACGAUCCCACUGCCGGCACGGCCCCGGGCACGGCCACUGCCCGGGGAGGGGAUGGGGACGGGGGGAGGUGGGGGGAGGAGAUGGCAGCCCCAGGCUCCCGAAAACGCAGAUGCAUUAGAGCAAGUGGAGCUGCCUGAUUGAUUCUCUGGGCUGAGACGUGGGCUGGGAGUGCCAGGAGAAAAUGGAUCCCAUGAAUAUUUGAUGAACGGAGGCUUGGGGAGGGAGUUUGAUUGGAAAAUUACAGAUCUUUCAAACAGUG